GCCCGGGUAGCUCAGUUGGUAGAGCGUGCGGCUUUUAUAUGGACAAUUGCUUCCAUAUAGGCCACCGCAAGGCCCUGGGUUCGAGCCCCAGCUCGGGCG
This is a non-coding RNA of Paraphysoderma sedebokerense, 99 nucleotides long. Lineage: Eukaryota; Fungi; Blastocladiomycota; Physodermatomycetes; Physodermatales; Physodermataceae. The record is from the annotation of a GenBank genome assembly.